RNAcentral lists this ribosomal RNA (301 nucleotides) under uncultured bacterium. RNAcentral's name for it is "partial 16S ribosomal RNA". It matches the Rfam family "Bacterial small subunit ribosomal RNA", at positions 509 to 807 of the family's 1533-position model. The record is from RNAcentral.
CAGUCGCCGCGGUAAUACAGAGGAUGCAAGCGUUAUCCGGAAUGAUUGGGCGUAAAGGGCUCGCAGGCGGUUUCUUAAGUCUGAUGUGAAAGCCCCCGGCUCAACCGGGGAGGGUCAUUGGAAACUGGGAAACUUGAGUGCAGAAGAGGAGAGUGGAAUUCCACGUGUAGCGGUGAAAUGCGUAGAGAUGUGGAGGAACACCAGUGGCGAAGGCGACUCUCUGGUCUGUAACUGACGCUGAGGAGCGAAAGCGUGGGGAGCGAACAGGAUUAGAUACCCCGGUAGUCCCUGUCUCUUAUAC